RNAcentral lists this ribosomal RNA (253 nucleotides) under uncultured bacterium. RNAcentral describes it as "partial 16S ribosomal RNA". It matches the Rfam family "Bacterial small subunit ribosomal RNA", at positions 524 to 776 of the family's 1533-position model. The record is from RNAcentral.
GACAGAGGGUGCAAGCGUUGUUCGGAAUUAUUGGGCGUAAAGGGCGCGUAGGCGGCUGAGCAAGUCGAAUGUGAAAUCCCUGGGCUUAACCCAGGAAGUGCAUUUGAUACUGCUCAACUUGAGUCCCGGAGAGGGUGGUGGAAUUCCCAGUGUAGAGGUGAAAUUCGUAGAUAUUGGGAGGAACACCGGUGGCGAAGGCGACCACCUGGACGGAGACUGACGCUGAUGCGCGAAAGCGUGGGGAGCAAACGGG